AGCGCAGCGGUCGCGAGCGCUCU
Molecule: microRNA, 23 nt
Filed under: Macaca mulatta (Rhesus monkey)
Lineage: Eukaryota; Metazoa; Chordata; Mammalia; Primates; Cercopithecidae
Description: mml-miR-639
Gene: mml-miR-639
Source: miRBase by way of RNAcentral